Molecule: ribosomal RNA, 253 nt
Filed under: uncultured bacterium
Lineage: Bacteria
Description: partial 16S ribosomal RNA
Rfam family: Bacterial small subunit ribosomal RNA
Source: RNAcentral
UACGUAGGGUGCAAGCGUUGUCCGGAAUUAUUGGGCGUAAAGAGCUCGUAGGCGGCUUGUCGCGUCUGCCGUGAAAGCCCGAGGCUCAACUUCGGGUCUGCGGUGGGUACGGGCAGGCUAGAGUGCGGUAGGGGAGAUUGGAAUUCCUGGUGUAGCGGUGGAAUGCGCAGAUAUCAGGAGGAACGCCGAUGGCGAAGGCAGAUCUCUGGGCCGUAACUGACGCUGAGGAGCGAAAGCAUGGGGAGCGAACAGG